UCGACCGGGGGCAGCGUGCGGCCUUGACUCUUGAGUCUGCCCCCCCUCGCGCCUCCGCCACGUACAUACACCGCGCAGCCAGAUUAUUUAUGAUAGCAUCACAGCUCGCGCAGCAUACUCGCGAUUCUCUACGAACUAAUAAUAACCCGUUUUUCCUCUCGCACGCCCGCUAAGUUUCCUAUGAAUAGAAUUCGAUCCAAAAGACAAAAGUGAUGUAAGUGAUUGCAGUGAUUAAACAAUGCGAAACUUUCACUGACCUCACAAAACAGAUAACGCAACGACUUCGCAGGCGUGCCGCGUAAGCGCCUAGUGAAAGUUGCCCAAAAAUCUGAGCACGAGUGUCUUCAAUCAUCCUGUUACCAGAUUUACGAGCACAUAAACAGGUCCGAAACAUCAUGGAAAUUUAAUAUAGUAGACAAAGUCGAGUUUUAAUGGCGCCGUUAAGUUUGUCUCGUGAAUGAAACAGCAUUGUCCAGGAUGAAGUAGGGCGGCGAACGAGGGAUCUUCAGCGAGAACGGACGCACGUGGAAGUGUUUACAUCCGUCGGGUAUCGCGUCCGGAGUGCGGAGUGCACGGCAUCCGGUUUUACAUAUACCGCGGCGGCGCUUCCCCGGAUAACGCGUUACAGCUGUUGAAACUCUCGAUUCGUCGUGUAUUCCUUCAGUGUAUUUGCGCAUCAUUUUCCCAAAGAUCGUUAAAUGUUAAUGAUUUUGUGCAAUAUUGUAAAUAUUACAGGAAACUGAUAGAAUGACGGAAUUUAAAUUUUAUUUUCAGUAUUUAUGUAGUAUUUAAGAGUUUAGGGUUAACAAACAUCAAAGACAAUGCGGCGAUGAUUGUUUUUUUUUUCAAUAAAUUCAUCCUCUAUUUGAUUAAUGGAAAAUCUUA
Molecule: long non-coding RNA, 885 nt
Organism: Bombyx mori (domestic silkworm)
Lineage: Eukaryota; Metazoa; Arthropoda; Insecta; Lepidoptera; Bombycidae
Exons: 3
Source: RefSeq, a predicted model, not a curated record